This 296-nucleotide ribosomal RNA is filed under the name uncultured bacterium. Its description in RNAcentral is "partial 16S ribosomal RNA". It matches the Rfam family "Bacterial small subunit ribosomal RNA", at positions 475 to 776 of the family's 1533-position model. The record is from RNAcentral.
CUAUGCGCCUUGCCAGCCCGCUCAGGUGUGCCAGCAGCCGCGGUAAUACGGAGGAUGCGAGCGUUAUCCGGAUUUAUUGGGUUUAAAGGGUGCGUAGGCGGGAUGCCAAGUCAGCGGUAAAAAUGCGGUGCUCAACGCCGUCGAGCCGUUGAAACUGGCGUUCUUGAGUGGGCGAGAAGUAUGCGGAAUGCGUGGUGUAGCGGUGAAAUGCAUAGAUAUCACGCAGAACUCCGAUUGCGAAGGCAGCAUACCGGCGCCCUACUGACGCUGAGCACGAAAGCGUGGUAUCGAACAGG